GAACGCUGGCGGCGUGCUUAACACCUGCAAGUCGAACGGACAGGCCCUGCUUUUGUGGGGUGCUCGAGUGGCGAACGGGUGAGUAACACGUGAGUAACCUGCCCUUGACUUUGGGAUAACUUCAGGAAACUGGGGCUAAUACCGGAUAGGAGCUCCUGCUGCAUGGUGGGGGUUGGAAAGUUUCGGCGGUUGGGGAUGGACUCGCGGCUUAUCAGCUUGUUGGUGGGGUAGUGGCUUACCAAGGCUUUGACGGGUAGCCGGCCUGAGAGGGUGACCGGCCACAUUGGGACUGAGAUACGGCCCAGACUCCUACGGGAGGCAGCAGUGGGGAAUAUUGCACAAUGGGCGGAAGCCUGAUGCAGCAACGCCGCGUGCGGGAUGACGGCCUUCGGGUUGUAAACCGCUUUCGCCUGUGACGAAGCGUGAGUGACGGUAAUGGGUAAAGAAGCACCGGCUAACUACGUG
RNAcentral lists this ribosomal RNA (465 nucleotides) under uncultured bacterium. RNAcentral describes it as "partial 16S ribosomal RNA". It matches the Rfam family "Bacterial small subunit ribosomal RNA", at positions 31 to 507 of the family's 1533-position model. The record is from RNAcentral.